AACGAACGCUGGCGGCAUGCCUAACACAUGCAAGUCGAACGAGACCUUCGGGUCUAGUGGCGCACGGGUGCGUAACGCGUGGGAACCUGCCCUUAGGUUCGGAAUAACUCCCCGAAAGGGGUGCUAAUACCGGAUAAUGUCUUCGGACCAAAGAUUUAUCGCCUUUGGAUGGGCCCGCGUUGGAUUAGCUAGUUGGUAGGGUAAAAGCCUACCAAGGCGACGAUCCAUAGCUGGUCUGAGAGGAUGAUCAGCCACACUGGGACUGAGACACGGCCCAGACUCCUACGGGAAGCAGCAGUGGGGAAUAUUGGACAAUGGGCGAAAGCCUGAUCCAGCAAUGCCGCGUGAGUGAUGAAGGCCUUAGGGUUGUAAAGCUCUUUUACUCGGGAUGAUAAUGACAGUACCGGGAGAAUAAGCUCCGGCUAACUCCGUG
RNAcentral lists this ribosomal RNA (433 nucleotides) under uncultured bacterium. RNAcentral's name for it is "partial 16S ribosomal RNA". It matches the Rfam family "Bacterial small subunit ribosomal RNA", at positions 29 to 507 of the family's 1533-position model. The record is from RNAcentral.